GUGAGGAAUUUUCCGCAAUGGGCGAAAGCCUGACGGAGCAAUGCCGCGUGAAGGAUGAAGGCCUAUGGGUUGUAAACUUCUUUUCUCAGAAAAGAAUUAUGACGGUAUCUGAGGAAUAAGCAUCGGCUAACUCUGUGCCAGCAGCCGCGGUAAGACAGAGGAUGCAAGCGUUAUCCGGAAUGAUUGGGCGUAAAGCGUCUGUAGGUUGUUUAAAAAGUAUUCUGUCAAAGAUUAGGGCUUAACCCUAGAUAGGCAGAAUAAACUUUUAAGCUAGAGUUUGGUAGAGGCAGAGGGAAUUCCCGGUGGAGCGGUGAAAUGCGUAGAUAUCGGGAGGAACACCAAAGGCGAAGGCACUCUGCUGGGCCAAUACUAACACUGAGAGACGAAAGCGAGGGGAGCAAAUGGGAUUAGAUACCCUAGUAGUCC
This 426-nucleotide ribosomal RNA is filed under the name uncultured bacterium. RNAcentral describes it as "bacterial SSU rRNA". It matches the Rfam family "Bacterial small subunit ribosomal RNA", at positions 354 to 796 of the family's 1533-position model. The record is from RNAcentral.